CUAAUAUAUUGGUAUGCAUGAACCAACUGGUGAAGAAAGGAUUGUGACCUUUACCAAACCUUGCAUUUCCCACAUGAUUGAAAGAAUCGUCCCCACAAUUAUCAUUGAACUGCAUUGCUUUUGGGGGAAUCCCAAACUAAAGAUCAUGAUUUGAUCACAAAAUCAUAUCUGGCUUUGAAACUGGCAGUUUUCCAUCCUGUACAUCAACAGCAACAAGGAAUACUUAGAAACCAGAUCUUCACAGUUUGCCAACAUGUAGUAUUUUGAAGCUAUUAGAAGGAAAGCUGUUCUGAUAACCUCCUAUCAGUCUUCUUACAAACUGAGGCCAGCUAGAUUAUUGUUUAAUUACUUUCAGGAAUGAUCGAAACUGAGUUUCUGUUCAAAUACUGGCUAGACAAAAUGGUUUUUUGAUUGAUCAUAUGUGAACCACUAGUGCUAGUAUUUUAUUCUUUCACAGUGAGCUAUUCAUUUGUUUGGUGUUUUCAAGUUGUUAUGUAUGCUUUGCUAUAUGCUUGGGAUUCUAUUGCCUGCUCAACUACUUGGAUAUUGGUGGAUCAUCUCUAGGGCAGGAUAUGAGUCUAGCCAAGCCCAAACAGGGUCCGGCUCGUUUUCAGUGAGUUGAGGCUCAAGCUUAGGCUCGGGCUUGUUGAACACGUGUUCGUAUUUGACUCUCUUCAUAAUUUUAGUGUUUAUGAUCAAUUCGCACUCAACUCGAGUUUGUGUGCUCUAACUCAAGUUCGCUUUGAUCGACUUUAAGCUUGCAUCUUAGACUCAAUUGUACGACGUCGGUUCAGAGUUUAUUUAUUAACAAAACUGAGCCGUGCAGGAGCAAGGCACUUGUUCGGGUUUGGGCUUGGACUCGUUUUCAUUCGUACUCCCAAGCUCGUAUUCAGGCUUGCUAUCUCAUGUUCAUGUUUGGAUUCGUUUGAGUAAAACUCGUUUUGUGCCCCGAACAAGCUCCCUUCAAAUUCAGCCCUAAUCAUCUCCUCCAGCUACCACUUUGCGAAAGCCUUAUCGUGAUGCCAGGGCAUUAGUGAUGAGUUUUAUUGUUAAUAAUGAAGUGUCUACAUGUUGUAUUCCUCUGUAAUCCACCUUUUCAUGAAAUUCAAAAUAAGAAGUUUUGUUAUUAUUUUGAAGAUCAUGCAGAGUCACUCAUCUUUUGGUUGCUCAAUUGUGUGCUAUUAAUUAUCUUGUGACUUUAAUUUCAUAUAUCUUGCCCUGUAUUUCGGCAUCUUGUUAAAUUGGUUUUGUAAAUAAGUAUCAGAAUGUGAAACUUCCUAUUCCUUUGAAAACUUUUAAAAGUUCUGGCAGAUUCUUUGAUAAUAAUCCAUGAUACUGUGGUCCAUUUUUAAUGUGCUGAGCUAGGGGACCUUUAACAAUUAUUGUCACUGUAUCCCAGUGACUGAAAAACUCCGGAGAGCAAGAUACUCUUAACUGUUACCUCUGAUUGCAGUUUCUAAAGUAUUCUCUCUUAUUUUCUUUUUCGUCGGUGGGACUCGUGGAGCCUGUUUGAAUGCAUCCUUUGAAAAAUUGCCUGCAACAGUGUUCAGUACAUUUGCUUAGAUGUUAAACCAAAAUGCCAUUGAAGCUAGAAAUCUGUAACUCCAAGCAAAGCUGAUAUAUGCUUUUUGCCAUCGAAUAGUUUCUGUAUCAUUCAAGGUCAUUGAUGGAGUCAUCUGUUUUCUGUUUCUCCAAACAUCUCUUCGAAUAUAUUCAUAUACAUGUUUUAGUUGCUUUUGUUUCUGUUUCUCCAAAACAUCUCUGAAUAUAUUCAUAUGCGUGUCUUAGAUGCUUUUUUCUUUGAUAGGUUGCUGUAUUUGUCCAUUGCUUGUAAAUGUUGUAUCUGGAGAAAGAAAGCUUGUGUUUUCUAGCAAAUUUUGAUCAAUUAUCUCCUAGGUUGUGCCAACAAUCGGCACUUCUCUUCUAAUUGUUCAAUAUUGGCACAAGACCCUAUGAAUACAUUGUCCCCAAGCCAAGCCAAGAAAGGGAGCUCAAAUGGACCCAGUUAACAAAUAAAGCAACAAGGCUAAUAAAGUUUUCUGUCUUAUUGGCCAUGCUUCUUAGUCUCUCUCUUUCUCUUGAUAGUGUUGCUACUAUUUCUCCCCACCUUUAAAUGCAGCCAAUACUCCUUACCCGCCAGGUUAAAAACAUCUUAAGAUACUAGUCUUGCACAAGCUUUCCCUUCACAUCUUUUUUCUUAUUUUGUUAACUCCUUGUAUAAUAUCUUUAUCUACAAUACAAUCCUCUCAACACCAGCAUGGUUUUCAGUUCCGUGUUCUAUGUUUUGAGUGCCCAGCCAUCAUGCUUCGUUGAGAGCUUGUAGGAGACAAGAAGCCAGUAGGAGAUAUGACGAGUGGCAGCUGGGGUUUGAGAGUUUGUUUAGUAGCUGUUGUAUUGUUUGGGAUCAUUUGGCUUUUGUUUAUUGGAAUUUUAGCAAACCAUGCAACCACAACCACCACCACAACAGUGACAGUACCUUCAACUGAAGUUUUCAGGGACUGGAAGUUGAUUCAAAGAGAGAAGCUUCACGCUCAUCAGGACUUCGAUCUUCAUUAUGUCAGCAAGAGAAGAGUACCCAAUGGACCUGAUCCCAUCCACAACAGGAGAGUGGUAAAGUCUAGACAACCACCAGGCAAAAUCUGACUGCGGAUUCUGUGAAAGAAGCUUCAAGCUUCUGCAAAGACAAUGUACAAGAAAUUCUUAUAUUUUAAGUGCUUUAUCAACCCUUAUAAAAUCUGUAAGUUGAGAUGUGUUCCUCUAAAUUCAUGAUAUGGCAAAGCUUUGGAAAUGGGGGCUUAAGGCUGUUCUCAAAA
Molecule: long non-coding RNA, 2813 nt
Organism: Mangifera indica (mango)
Lineage: Eukaryota; Viridiplantae; Streptophyta; Magnoliopsida; Sapindales; Anacardiaceae
Exons: 2
Source: RefSeq, a predicted model, not a curated record